This 775-nucleotide ribosomal RNA is filed under the name uncultured bacterium. Its description in RNAcentral is "bacterial SSU rRNA". It matches the Rfam family "Bacterial small subunit ribosomal RNA", at positions 28 to 776 of the family's 1533-position model. The record is from RNAcentral.
GACGAACGCUGGCGGCGUGCCUAAUACAUGCAAGUCGAACGCUUUGAUUUUCACCGGAGCUUGCUCCACCGAAAAUCAAAGAGUGGCGGACGGGUGAGUAACACGUGGACAACCUGCCCAACAGAGGGGGAUAACACUUGGAAACAGGUGCUAAUACCGCAUAAUUUGUUUUUCCGCAUGGAAGAAUAGUAAAAGACGCUUCGGUGUCACUGUUGGAUGGGCCCGCGCUGCAUUAGUUAGUUGGUGGGGUAACGGCCUACCAAGACCAUGAUGCAUAGCCGACCUGAGAGGGUGAUCGGCCACACUGGGACUGAGACACGGCCCAGACUCCUACGGGAGGCAGCAGUAGGGAAUCUUCGGCAAUGGACGAAAGUCUGACCGAGCAACGCCGCGUGAGUGAAGAAGGUUUUCGGAUCGUAAAACUCUGUUGUUAGAGAAGAACAAGUGAGAGAGUUACUGUUCUCACCUUGACGGUAUCUAACCAGAAAGCCACGGCUAACUACGUGCCAGCAGCCGCGGUAAUACGUAGGUGGCAAGCGUUGUCCGGAUUUAUUGGGCGUAAAGCGAGCGCAGGCGGUUUCUUAAGUCUGAUGUGAAAGCCCUCGGCUCAACCGAGGAAGGUCAUUGGAAACUGGGGAACUUGAGUGCAGAAGAGGAGAGUGGAAUUCCAUGUGUAGCGGUGAAAUGCGUAGAUAUAUGGAGGAACACCAGUGGCGAAGGCGACUCUCUGGUCUGUAACUGACGCUGAGGCUCGAAAGCGUGGGGAGCAAACAGG